This 271-nucleotide ribosomal RNA is filed under the name uncultured bacterium. RNAcentral's name for it is "partial small subunit ribosomal RNA". It matches the Rfam family "Bacterial small subunit ribosomal RNA", at positions 26 to 285 of the family's 1533-position model. The record is from RNAcentral.
AGAGCGAACGCUGGCGGCGUGCUUAACACAUGCAAGUCGAGUGCGCAGUUUUCUGUAGCAAUACAGGAAACCGGCGCACGGCGCACGGGUGCGUAACACGUGGAUAACCUGCCCUCCAAAGGGGAAUAACCCCGCGAAAGCGAGGCUAAUACCGCAUGACAUUCCGAGAACCUCGGUUUUUGGAAUCAAAGCCCGCAAGGGCGUUGGGGGAGGGGUCCGCGGCCGAUUAGCUUGUUGGCGAGGUAAUGGCUCACCAAGGCAAUGAUCGGUA